CGUUUUUUCGCCCCUGCAUACCGGAAUCCCCCUUGCUAGCUAGCGGUGAACAGUGUUAUUCGCUCCCGCCUGCCCUCACAUUCGUUAACAGAACUGUGGGAAAACAGUGCCCGACAGGAGGGGGCGAAUGACACUGUCUACCGGUCGCCCCCACUAGCACAUCAAACGACAGGCUAGGGCGGGGUUCGGCAACCCGCGGCUCUUUAGCGCCGCCCUAGUGGCUCCCUGGAGCUUUUUCAAAAAUAUGAAAAUGGAAAAAGAUGGUGUGAAUAUAUUUUUUGUUUUAAUAUAAUUUAUUAUCCAAUGCUGUAAAAAUGUGUAUAAUAAAUAUUUAAUUUCAACAUUUCUGUCAACGAAGAUUUACGUCAUAGCCUGCGACACACGUUUCUUUCAGCUCCGCGUAGUGCCAGACAGGUGGCUGUUGUAAACAAAACGGCGGGUGUGUCAUGGGCCAUGGAUCCCAAAGGGAAAAAGAGAAAGAUAGCUGAGGAGAACAGAGGAUUCCACAGUUCUUGGACCGAAUCAUUUGCUUUCAUUGCCAAUGCGGAAGGAUUGCCUGCAUGUUUGCUUUGUAAUGAGAAGUUGUCAAAUAACAAAAAGAGUAACGUGGAAAGACAUUUCCAUUCUUCCUGACAGUUAUAGGAACAUGAAGAAUUAUGCAUUUGGAGUAUUAUCCAUCUUUGGAUCAACAUACCUGUGCGAGCAGAUAUUCUCAAACAUGAACUACAUAAAAUCCAAAUACCGCACCCGCCUCACAGAUGAGAGCUUGCAGUCAGUCCUACGUGAAGAUUAAAGUUACAUCUUACAUGCCCGAUGUUGAGAAACUGUCCAGUGAUGUCCGAAAACAGAAGUCACAUUAAACGGGUCCGAGGAUGGCUGCAUUGUAUUGUGCGUGUCAAAAGAGAAGAGGGUGCUGCUGCAUUUUACCCUUGCACAUUUGCAGAAAACUAAAGAGAAGAGGAUAAUGCACAGACAUCGAACUUAAACUGUAUUAUUUUAAUUUUAUAUACUUUACCUUUUCAAAAGGCUGCUGUUUUAUUGCACUCUGUCUGUUGCCCAGAUAAGGGGGGAAAGAGAAGAGGAUUGUAUCGUAUUAUUGAGGAUUGAAAAGGACUGCAUUUUAUUUCCAUGGGGAGGUCUGAAAUUACAGGAGGCCUAUUAUGCACGUUGCACAUUUUGUUGUUGUUUUUUUCGAAUCCUAAAAUAAAAAUGACAUCAAAUCUGA
This is a long non-coding RNA of Salmo salar (Atlantic salmon), 1225 nucleotides long. RefSeq lists it as uncharacterized. NCBI's taxonomy places the organism in Eukaryota, Metazoa, Chordata, Actinopteri, Salmoniformes, Salmonidae. The record is from RefSeq and is a predicted model, not a curated record.